RNAcentral lists this ribosomal RNA (1245 nucleotides) under metagenome. Its description in RNAcentral is "bacterial LSU rRNA". It matches the Rfam family "Bacterial large subunit ribosomal RNA", at positions 1564 to 2818 of the family's 2925-position model. The record is from RNAcentral.
UGAGUACGAGAUGCUACGGCAUCGAAGCAGUCUAUGUCAUACUUCCAAGAAAAGCUUGCACUGUCAUAAACAAAUAAUGCCUGUACCAUAACCGACACAGGUGGGUAGGUAGAGUAUACUAAGGGGCGCGAGAUAACUCUCUCUAAGGAACUCGGCAAAAUGACUCCGUAACUUCGGGAGAAGGAGUGCCUUAUUUAUAAGGUUGCAAUAACAAGAUCCAAGCAACUGUUUAUCAAAAACACAGGUCUCCGCUAAGUCGUAAGACGAUGUAUGGGGGCUGACGCCUGCCCAGUGCCAGAAGGUUAAAGAAGUUGGUUAGUGUAUGCGAAGCUGAUGACUGAAGCCCUGGUGAACGGCGGCCGUAACUAUAACGGUCCUAAGGUAGCGAAAUUCCUUGUCGGGUAAGUUCCGACCCGCACGAAAGGCGUAAUGAUUUGGAUACUGUCUCGGAGAGAGGCUCGGUGAAAUAGACUUGUCUGUGAAGAUGCGGACUACCUGCACCAGGACAGAAAGACCCUAUGAAGCUUUACUGUAACUUGAAAUUGGAAUUGGACUUUGCUUGCGCAGUAUAGGUGGGAAGCGUUGAAGAUAUUCUUGCGGGAGUAUUGGAGCUAUCAGUGAGAUACCACUCUUGUAAUGUUAGAUUUCUAACUUUGAACCAUAAUCUGGUCAAAGAACAGUUUCAGGUGGGCAGUUUGACUGGGGCGGUCGCCUCCCAAAUGGUAACGGAGGCGUACAAAGGUUUCCUCUGAACGGAUAGAAAUCGUAUCUAGAGUGUAAAGGCAUAAGGAAGCUUGACUGUGAGACCUACAAGUCGAGCAGGGACGAAAGUCGGUCUUAGUGAUCUGACGGUACUGAGUGGAAAGGCCGUCACUCAACGGAUAAAAGUUACUCUAAGGAUAACAGGCUGAUCUCCCCCAAGAGUUCACAUCGACGGGGAGGUUUGGCACCUCGAUGUCGGCUCAUCGCAUCCUGGGGCGGUAGUACGUCCCAAGGGUUGGGCUGUUCGCCCAUGAAAGCGGUACGCGAGCUGGGUUCAGAACGUCGUGAGACAGUUCGGUCCAUAUCCGGUGUAGGCGUUAGAAUAUUGAGAGGAGCCUUCUUUAGUACGAGAGGACCGAGAAGGACACACCGCUGGUGUACCAGUUAUCGUGCCAACGGUAAACGCUGGGUAGCUAUGUGUGGAGUGGAUAACCGCUGAAAGCAUCUAAGUGGGAAGCCCACCUCAAGAUGAGUAUUCUCAUC